AGUGAUGGUAGAGGAGCAAAAACCAAGAGUACUUCAUCUGAAAAGUAGGAGCUUUAAGGAUGAUGAAGAAAAGGGGAUUUUUGCCGAAGUAAUGAGCGCCUCCUAACGCUUCUUGCUGGACCUGCAUUGAAGAAAUGCAGAGCUGUCACGUCAUUCUUGCCCGGGGAAGACGUGGAGAACUAUCUCACAU
This 190-nucleotide non-coding RNA is filed under the name Fictibacillus macauensis. RNAcentral describes it as "Lysine sequence". It matches the Rfam family "Lysine riboswitch aptamer". From Rfam's summary of the family: Riboswitches are metabolite binding domains within certain messenger RNAs that serve as precision sensors for their corresponding targets. The record is from RNAcentral. RNAcentral also lists the same sequence under 1 other name. Lineage: Bacteria; Bacillati; Bacillota; Bacilli; Caryophanales; Fictibacillaceae.